UGUGCCCAGAUGGGAUUAGCUAGUAGGUGGGGUAACGGCUCACCUAGGCGACGAUCCCUAGCUGGUCUGAGAGGAUGACCAGCCACACUGGAACUGAGACACGGUCCAGACUCCUACGGGAGGCAGCAGUGGGGAAUAUUGCACAAUGGGCGCAAGCCUGAUGCAGCCAUGCCGCGUGUAUGAAGAAGGCCUUCGGGUUGUAAAGUACUUUCAGCGGGGAGGAAGGGAGUAAAGUUAAUACCUUUGCUCAUUGACGUUACCCGCAGAAGAAGCACCGGCUAACUCCGUGCCAGCAGCCGCGGUAAUACGGAGGGUGCAAGCGUUAAUCGGAAUUACUGGGCGUAAAGCGCACGCAGGCGGUUUGUUAAGUCAGAUGUGAAAUCCCCGGGCUCAACCUGGGAACUGCAUCUGAUACUGGCAAGCUUGAGUCUCGUAGAGGGGGGUAGAAUUCCAGGUGUAGCGGUGAAAUGCGUAGAGAUCUGGAGGAAUACCGGUGGCGAAGGCGGCCCCCUGGACGAAGACUGAC
This 526-nucleotide ribosomal RNA is filed under the name Escherichia coli. RNAcentral's name for it is "bacterial SSU rRNA". It matches the Rfam family "Bacterial small subunit ribosomal RNA", at positions 226 to 744 of the family's 1533-position model. The record is from RNAcentral. Lineage: Bacteria; Pseudomonadati; Pseudomonadota; Gammaproteobacteria; Enterobacterales; Enterobacteriaceae.